GUUAUAUUAUUUUGAUGUUGAUCUUAGUUACCUUUCUCGAAGAACGCUAACACGCCUGCGCGCCCGCCGUGAUUCGAUACGAGAUUCAAAAACAGUUGCCACAAAAUAGUUAGCUUUGGUCGGACAUUUGCAAUUUCUAGAAUUUUCCGAUGCUUUCCUAUGAUUUUCGACGAUUUCGAAUGAAUUUCCAACAGAAUAGAGAAAAGAAGUAAUUCCACUUGGACAAAAUCAACUACAGCAACUUCUGAUGGAAAACAACAAAUUCCAGGUUAUCGGCAAAGCAAAACUUUCUGCUGAAAAUUAUUUCAAAGGACUCGGAAGAAAGAAAAUCAAGAUGAUGAAGAUCAGAAGGGUAGGAAAUACUAGAGCAAUGGACAAUUCAGCCACAUGAUAGCGAGAGAAAAUAAGUAAUUCCACUGGAACGAAAUCAACUACAGCAACUUAAGAUGGAAAACAAUAAAUUCCAGGCAAAGCAAGACUUUCCGCUGAAAAUUUUUUCAGGAGACCGGGAAGAAAAAAAAAUCAAGAUGAUGACGAUCAGAAGGGUAGGAAAUACUCGAGCAAUGGACAAUUCAGCCACAUGAUAGCGG
Coccinella septempunctata (seven-spotted ladybird) is the source of this 590-nucleotide long non-coding RNA. RefSeq lists it as uncharacterized. NCBI's taxonomy places the organism in Eukaryota, Metazoa, Arthropoda, Insecta, Coleoptera, Coccinellidae. The transcript is spliced from 5 exons. The record is from RefSeq and is a predicted model, not a curated record.